This 437-nucleotide ribosomal RNA is filed under the name uncultured bacterium. RNAcentral describes it as "bacterial SSU rRNA". It matches the Rfam family "Bacterial small subunit ribosomal RNA", at positions 355 to 804 of the family's 1533-position model. The record is from RNAcentral.
UCAAGAAACUUCCACAAUGGGCGAAAGCCUGAUGGAGCGACGUCGCGUGAUGGACGAAGUGCUUCGGCACGUAAACAUCUUUUAUGUGGGAUGAAAUUAUUGACAGUACCACAUGAAUAAGGGGCUCCUAACUCUGUGCCAGCAGGAGCGGUAAUACAGAGGCCCCAAGCGUUAUCCGGAAUCACUGGGCGUAAAGGGUGUCGAGGCGGUUGUAUUAGUCGUUCGUAAAAUCUACGAGCUUAACUUGUAGGCGGCGAACGAAACGGUACGACUUGAGGUUUGGAGAGGUGCGUGGAACUCACGGUGUAGGGGUGAAAUCCGUUGAUAUCGUGGGGAACACCAAAGGCGAAGGCAGCGCACUGGCCAAAAUCUGACGCUCACACACGAAAGCUAGGGUAGCGAAGAGGAUUAGAUACCCAGGUAGUCCCUGAGCGGGC